Helianthus annuus (common sunflower) is the source of this 1399-nucleotide long non-coding RNA. RefSeq lists it as uncharacterized. The record is from RefSeq and is a predicted model, not a curated record. The transcript is spliced from 5 exons. Lineage: Eukaryota; Viridiplantae; Streptophyta; Magnoliopsida; Asterales; Asteraceae.
UUUAUUAUAUAAUACUCUAAUUUACAACAAUUCUAUGCAAUAGAGGUUGUACAUUUUGCUUCCAAUGUUGUAUGGUGGUUUUGAGAAAACGGUAUGCUACUGCUGCUGGGCUGUUUGUGUCCUAUGCUUCUCUAUCAUCACUUCACCCUCAUCAACACUCCGACACCACCCUUUCACCCUACAUCAGCCAAAAUACUCAUCCCUUCCCUUCCUCCUCUUAUAUCAGGCUCAAAAUUGACAUUAGGGUUAAGUGAUAUUGGUGUUUCUUUGUAGUUUGUGGACACAUUACUUUUCUUUUAAGCACAUCCACCAACAAUCUCUUAUAUGCCUCUUAUAUCAGGCUCAAAAUUGACAUUAGGGUUUUAGUGAUAUUAGUGUUUCUUUGUAGUUUGUGGACACAUUGCUUUUCUUUUAAGAACAUCCACCAACGAUCUCUUAUAUGCGAUACAAAACACCGGCGAAGGAGAGAGAGAACCAUGUUUGAAGAGAUAGAGCGCCACGAGAGUAGAUAUAGAAAGAGGGAGCCAUCGAUCGACGAUUAAGAAGGUCACAGCGGUGGUUCUGUUUCUGCCGAUGGCGGUGACUUCAAGAAACGAAGACCCGAUUAGGGUUCAAGCGAUAUUCCGGCUAUCCCUUUUUACACUGGAGCACCAGGGCAACCGGAUAAAUAUUCUCUCGUACAACGCAAGCAUUGUUCUAUAACUAUAAGCAAUUGCCGAUUCAACGGAUGCUUGAUUUUGACUUCCUUUGUGGGAGGGAAACACCUUCAGUUGCUGGAAUCAUCAACCCAGUUUCUGAGGGAUUUUAGAAAUUAUUUUUUGGCCAAGAGGAAAUCGCCAUACCAGUACAUUCAACCAUUGAAGCAGCUUGUGCUGCCCAUCCUAUUGCUGAUGUAUUCAUAAACUUUGCAUCAUUCCGAAGGCUAGUUCUAAGUUAAUUUAAAACCUUUAUUAUGUUAAUUUACGAUUAUUGAUAUUUUGGAAACGUAUACAGUACUGCUGCUUCAUCGAAACUUGCUCUCAAACAGCCUACAAUCAGAGUUGUGGCUAUUAUUGUCGAGGGUGUUCCGGAUUCAGACACCAAGGAGUUAAUUUCGUACGCGAGGUAGUUAUUGGGCCCGCAACGGUUGGUGUACGUGCGCGCUCGAUUGAAUAUGUCAUAUAUUACUAUUACAAAGCUUGCGUAUCAUCAGUUACAACAAUUAUGGCAGGAAGAAGAAACAACUUAGGUGACUUUCAUUUCACUUGGAUGUUGUGCUAAUAUGCCUUUGCUGGAUGUUACUGCUGUAUGAUUUAGUUUAUUAUAUUUCUUUUCCUUUUUGCUUCCCUUGGUGUAUUGUGGCGAGCCUCUGGCUUGUAGUUUUUUUAUGGGUUAAAAAAAUGGUGUUUUGUUUGCCAAA